GGGUCGUUAGCUCAGCUGGUAGAGCGCUUCGUUUACACCGAAGAUGUCGGCGGUUCGAACCCGUCACGACCCACCA
Molecule: transfer RNA, 76 nt
Filed under: Sinisalibacter aestuarii
Lineage: Bacteria; Pseudomonadati; Pseudomonadota; Alphaproteobacteria; Rhodobacterales; Roseobacteraceae
Description: tRNA-Val
Rfam family: tRNA
About the family: Transfer RNA (tRNA) molecules are approximately 80 nucleotides in length. Their secondary structure includes four short double-helical elements and three loops (D, anti-codon, and T loops).
Source: RNAcentral